UAGGGAAUAUUAGAAAUGGACGAAAGUCUGAUCUAGCAACACCGCGUGUGCGAUGAAGGCCUUCGGGUUGUAAAGCACUUUUGGAAGGAUUAGGAAGGAAUGUACUUCCAGAAUAAGUCUCGGCUAACUACGUGCCAGCAGCCGCGGUAACACGUAGGAGGCGAACGUUAUCCGGAUUUACUGGGCGUAAAGCGCGUGUAGGUGGUUCUGUAAGUAGGGCGUGAAAGCUCCUGGCUCAACUGGGAGAGGCCGUUCUAAACUGCAGAGAUAGAGGAUGGUAGAGGGAGGUGGAAUUCCGGGUGUAGCGGUGGAAUGCGCAGAUAUCCGGAGGAACACCAGUGGCGAAGGCGGCCUCCUGGACCAUUCCUGACACUCAGACGCGAAAGCUAGGGUAGCAAACG
RNAcentral lists this ribosomal RNA (401 nucleotides) under uncultured prokaryote. RNAcentral describes it as "bacterial SSU rRNA". It matches the Rfam family "Bacterial small subunit ribosomal RNA", at positions 355 to 774 of the family's 1533-position model. The record is from RNAcentral.